AUGUGUUACAGCUCUUUUAGACUUUGUCCAGGUUUUCUAACUUUUGUCAGAAAUCCCAC
Molecule: small nuclear RNA, 59 nt
Filed under: Neotoma lepida (desert woodrat)
Lineage: Eukaryota; Metazoa; Chordata; Mammalia; Rodentia; Cricetidae
Description: U7 small nuclear RNA
Rfam family: U7 small nuclear RNA
About the family: Animal histone pre-mRNAs are spliced by a different mechanism than nuclear pre-mRNAs and self-splicing introns. This processing involves the U7 snRNP, which contains only one RNA species: U7.
Source: Rfam by way of RNAcentral